This 399-nucleotide long non-coding RNA is filed under the name Glycine max (soybean). Its description in RNAcentral is "long non-coding RNA (GMAX_LNC002547)". Lineage: Eukaryota; Viridiplantae; Streptophyta; Magnoliopsida; Fabales; Fabaceae. The record is from RNAcentral.
AAAGGCGAUAAUAACAAGUGCAAUAAUUGCUAAGACAAAUACCCCAAAUAUAGACUGACAAAAUGAUAAUUUUGACAAAAACAUUAGCAUGAUCAACAAAUGAGAAAUUGUUGGUGGCUACUUUAAGCUCAGCGGGGGUGAAUAAUGGUGCAGCAACAGUCCUGAUAUCCACAGCGGAAGCAAAAGCAUGCGCUGGGGAAGGGGAUGAUCCCAAAUCUGCUUCAGUAGCAUUACUACUCCUUAUGGCACUGUCCACUAACGAAACAAAACUACGGACACGAGAUUCUCAACAAUGCUCUCAACCAUUUCAGUAUCCAUUUUAUUUGCUUUGGCGGAGGCACUGAGCACAUAUGUCAUAUACAGACACCAAAGCACAUACAUAUAUAUAUUAAUUGAGAA